This 253-nucleotide ribosomal RNA is filed under the name uncultured bacterium. Its description in RNAcentral is "partial 16S ribosomal RNA". It matches the Rfam family "Bacterial small subunit ribosomal RNA", at positions 524 to 776 of the family's 1533-position model. The record is from RNAcentral.
UACGUAGGGUGCGAGCGUUAAUCGGAAUUACUGGGCGCAAAGCGUGCGCAGGCGGUUCGUUGUGUCGGCGGUGAAAGCCCCGGGCUCAACCUGGGAAUGGCCGUUGAAACUGGCGAACUGGAGUGUGGCAGAGGGGGGUGGAAUUCCGCGUGUAGCAGUGAAAUGCGUAGAGAUGCGGAGGAACACCGAUGGCGAAGGCAGCCCCCUGGGCUAACACUGACGCUCAGGCACGAAAGCGUGGGGAGCAAACAGG